This 238-nucleotide ribosomal RNA is filed under the name uncultured bacterium. RNAcentral describes it as "partial 16S ribosomal RNA". It matches the Rfam family "Bacterial small subunit ribosomal RNA", at positions 96 to 334 of the family's 1533-position model. The record is from RNAcentral.
CGGCGGACGGGUGAGUAACGCGUGGGUAACCUGCCUCAUACAGGGGGAUAACAGUUGGAAACGGCUGCUAAUACCGCAUAAGCGCACAGUACCGCAUGGUACCGUGUGAAAAACUCCGGUGGUAUGAGAUGGACCCGCGUCUGAUUAGGUAGUUGGUGGGGUAACGGCCUACCAAGCCGACGAUCAGUAGCCGACCUGAGAGGGUGACCGGCCACAUUGGGACUGAGACGUGGCCCAA